Eriocheir sinensis (Chinese mitten crab) is the source of this 326-nucleotide long non-coding RNA. RefSeq lists it as uncharacterized. Lineage: Eukaryota; Metazoa; Arthropoda; Malacostraca; Decapoda; Varunidae. The record is from RefSeq and is a predicted model, not a curated record. The transcript has 3 exons.
UUAGGUUAGGUUAGGUUAGGUUAAGGGACAGUACAAGGAUAGGAGAGGUUAGGUUAGGUUAAGGGACAGUACAAGGAUAGGAGAGGUUAGGUUAGGUUAAGGGACAGUACAAGGAUAGGAGAGGUUAGGUUAGGUUAAGGGACAGUACAAGGAUAGGAGAGGUUAGGUUAGGUUAGGUUAAGGGACAGUACAAGGAUAGGAGAGGUUAGGUUAGGUUAGGUUAAGGGACAGUACAAGGAUAGGAGAGGUUAGGUUAGGUUAAGGGACAGUACAAGGAUAGGAGAGGUUAGGUUAGGUUAAGGGACAGUACAAGGAUAGGAGAGGUU